CUUUGCAUACACGAAAGUGUGACAGGGCCUAUCCCGAGUGCCAUCCGCUGAGGAAGGCUUUUACCCAGUCUAGAAAGCUGGGGGAAUAAGGAGAGGGCAAGUCUGGUGUCAGCCGCCGCGGUAAUACCAGCUCUUCGAGUGGUGUGGAUGUUUAUUGGGCCUAAAGCAUCCGUAGCUGGCUAGGUAAGUCCCUUGUUAAAUCCACCGAAUUAAUCGUUGGAUCGCGGGGGAUACUGCUUGGCUAGGGGACGAGAGAGGCAGACGGUAUUUUCGGGGUAGGGGUGAAAUCCUAUAAUCCCGGGAAGACCACCAGUGGCGAAGGCUGUCUGCUAGAACGCGCCCGACGGUGAGGGAUGAAAGCUGGGGGAGCGAACCGGAUUAGAUACCCGGGUAGUCCCAGCUGUAAACGAUGCAGACUAGGUGUUUGNACGGCCACGUGCCGUUCUAGUGCCGCAGGGAAGCUGUUAAGUCUGCCGCCUGGGGAGUACGAUCGCAAGAUUGAAACUUAAAGGAAUUGCGGGGGGARACCAA
Molecule: ribosomal RNA, 531 nt
Filed under: uncultured crenarchaeote
Lineage: Archaea; Thermoproteati; Thermoproteota
Description: bacterial SSU rRNA
Rfam family: Archaeal small subunit ribosomal RNA
Source: RNAcentral